UAUGAGCUCACAGCUUCCUCUCCACUGUGACAACUUAUCGCUGGCCCACAAACAGUGAAGCCAUGGACCACAACUACUGAAAGCACAAACAUGAAGUGAAUCUUUCCCCCUUUAUGCUGGUUUUAUCAGCGUGAACCUGACUAACACAAAGACUGAAUGAGUAACCAAAAGUCUGACCAAGUAAAGCUCUGGAUUCACUGCUAAAUCUGAACACUUAAAAAACUACCAGUUCUUUCAAGCUUUCCCAGAAAAUCAAAGAGCUCUGAAAUCUGGGCUUGAAGCCACGUCCAUCGGCUGCCAACUCUUGCCCGGUCUACCAGCCACUUCCAUUCAGUACUGCAGUCACUGUGAAGAAGAAAACCAGUCAAAACACAAAGCCAAUCAAGGUUUCCCAGGCUGCUUACUGCCUUCUGUGAGUCCUAGCAUAGUCCUUUCUUUACAGAACAGCUAAUAACAUGAAAGGAGAAUGGCAGGUAGACUUGUCAAUGAAAAACACUAAAUUUCUUUACCUUUCCACCCACAAUUCAACACUGUAAACCCAGUAGUAAAAUAAUCUUUCUGCAGUGUAAUACUUUAUUUAUGCUAAACACUUAAGACAAAGAGGGUCAGUAAAGCAAAGUAAAUACAAAUAAUACCAAUAUCAUGAGCCAAGUAUUGGGCAAACCAUCUGAACUAGUUUGAAGUCCGUGCAGCAAAGUGUAGUUUAUUCAACUUAAGGAUAUGUAAGUUUCAUCUAUUAAAACAGGUAUCACUGUUCCAUAAUUUCAUAAAAUCAAUUUUUAAAAAGUGACAAAAUUACUAAAAAUAUGAAUGCUUUUCUGCAUUUCAAAUAAUAACCAUACCAAAUACACAAAUUUUGAUGAAUUUUUAAGAUAAAAACCUUGUUAAAAAUCUGAUUUACAUGACUCACAACCAAGAGAUAACAAAGAAAUUAUACAAAGCCUUUCAUGUAUAUUUGAAAAUAAAGAUUGAAUCUUAACUCUUCAUAGUUCCUCUAUCAUUUGGCAAGAAUACUGUUCUAAUCUAUAGUUCGUGAGUACAGAUUAAUUAUAUAAUAUUUCAGCUACCUUAAUUAGAAAAGUUAUUUGGAAUGAUAGAUGAUGUGUGUAUGUGUGGUGUACGUUUGUGUGUGUGACAAAUUGCCAGGGAAAAUUUUCAAAGCAAUCGAUGGGAAAUAACUAUUAAAUGGCAAAACACAAAAAUUCACUUAAAAAGUCUAAAAAUCUGUUUUUUUUUUCCAGAAAUUUCAUUUCACCAUUGAUAGAAACCAGAAAAAAACAUUUAUAUUGUCCCAUAUAUAGCACAAUGGUUCAAUGGAUACUGUUAUAAAUACGAUCUUACUGAUUUCUAUAACUGGAGUUAAGUCUAUGGUUCUUGAAGGUAAAAAAGAUUGACUUGGUAAAUGUUUAAAAUUUUAAAUCCAGAAAUAAACAUAUGGCUUCAUUAUAAACAUCUUAUGCAAUCUAUUAUUAGAUUAUUUCCAUGAUCAAUUAGCACCAUAGACACACAUUCUGUUGGCUAACACUAUUUUAUUAAGUUGAAAUACAGUAGAAAAAUUAACAGUUCAAAAAUAUUAAGCAUACAUUUUUGUUACAUUGGAACUUCUUCCAAAUCCUACAAAAAAUAGCAUUUAGGCUUUCACCUGUAAUAAAAUAUUGGCUAUCAAGUUUCUGGAAAUGUCAUUUAUCAUUUUGAGGAAGCUGUUUUCUAUUUACAGCUUGUUGUUAAUUCUACUCAUAAGUCAGUUUGAACUUUGUCAAGUAUUUUGUUUUGGUAUCUAAGAAAAUUAUCAUUUUUUUCUUUGAUUUUGUAUAUUUAAUCAAUAUUGAUUCCGACAACCUAUACAUGGGUGGCCUUGAUGUAUUUUUUUAAAAAUUUUGCUAGAUUGUAAUUGGAUAGUUCGCUACAUAUUUUUAAUGACUACAAAAAGUGGAUAUAUGGAUCUACUAUUAUUAAAACUUUUGUCUAGUUUCAGAAUCAAGCUAAUGCUGGCUUAUAAAAUGGAUGGGAGUAUUUUUUGGAAAGGACUUGCAUAGUAUUGGAAGUAUCUACUUAAAUUUCAAUAAAAUUAAUCAGUGAAGCCAUCUACCUGGAACUUGCAUGUGGGAAGGUUUUUAAUUAUUAAUUCAAUUUCUCUGGUUGAUGGAAGGUAUUUUAUGUUUUCUGUUUCUGCUAUGCAAUUUUGGUAAUUUAUAUCUUGAAUCAUUAGCCUACUUGGUCCAAAUUUAUUGGCAUACAGUCAUUCAUAUUAUUCCCUGAUUUAUCUAUGAAUAUGUGUAAUAUGUGAAUGACAUUUUUCUUUCCUGCUAUUGGUCAUUUUUUUCCCUGACCAUCUAGCUGGGUAAAUUAAUUCAAUCUUUUCAAAUAAUUGUAUUUUAGUUUCACUGAUUUUCUCUACUGCUUUUGCUUCAUUAUUGAUUGUAUCUUUUUUUCUUGUUUCCAUAUUGAUUUUUAUUCUGUCUUUUUUUUCCUUCCAUUUGUUUUAGGUUUCAUUCUGUGUAAUUUUUAAGUGGGAAAUAUAGGUCACAGACUUUACACCAUUUCUUCUUUUUUUAAAAUAAGGAUUUCUAGCCUAAAUUUUUUUUUAUUACCACCACUUCAGUAAUUUAAUAGCUGGAUGAUAUUAAAAAUGAUACUGAAUUAUAUCACCAGUUUAAAACAUUUUAUAGCUUUUGUGAUUUCUUCUUGAUCCAUGAGUUAUUUAGAAAUACGUACUUUAAUUUCUCCAUAUUGAAGACUCCUAUUUGCUAGGAGGAGGACGGUAGAGGAUGAAGCCGUGAAGGUAAGGACCAGAUGGCUGCAGCCAGGUGCUCCUUGGGGAGGAGGCCUGCCAGUGCCUGCAGCACCUUCCUUUCCUGACACAAUCAGCCCAAGAGCUGCCCAGGAGAAUCCUGAGGGGAGGGUGAGAUGGGGCCCAGGAAAAGCAUCUCAUCUUCCACAAACACGUGCCUCGCUGGUUACACAGGGAACAAGAGGCGCUGUGUGUAUCUCUCUGGGAAGGCCACGUCACUGUGCAUCAGCUCCUAAUGUGUACACUUCUCAGGGGCCCUGCCAGACUCAGGAGAAGCAGUGACCUUGUCCUAGAUGCCCCAGGGACUAACAGCUUCGCACCCAACAACUUACACAUCUGAGGGAGCUCAAUCAGUAAAACCAGAGCCAAAUAUUCACCAGCAGGAAUCUGAGUAAGAAUGCGGUGCAGCCUCCAAUCCCGCACAUUCAAACACCGGGACACCUCAAGUACAGUCACAAGGUGGCGGAGAGAUGAUGACCCAACCUAACGACAGACUACCCAACUCCUGGUACCAGAGCUAGCUGGACUUUAUUUCCUGACCUAACUGGUAGUUAAGUCUGACAGUAAGAUGUGAACCAAAAUAAUUCGGGUUACUUCUUAGUCUUAAUAUGGAAACUAAUGGAAUGCACCCUUGAAAAUGACUGGAGUGAUGGGCGAAGUUCCAGGGAUCGGCUUCCCCAGGGCAGGCGGGAGCAGCCUCCCAGCACAGGGGAGCCGUCGGUCUCAUAAGCCCCUUGAAAGGUGUCUGGUUCUUGAUUACUAAAUGAGGUAAAACAAAUCCUGUAUGUCCAUGUUUCAUUCUGACAGUACAGUAUGUACCUUAACUUUAUUGAUGAGUAUCAUUUAGCUUAACAAGUUCACAUUUAAAUGCUCACUGUCUUUACGGAGAUUACACCUUGACCUAAAUCAGUAACUUUAAUAUUCUACAACCUAGCUGUCCACACAUGUACUUGGAAAACAAAAAGAUAAUUAAAAAAUAGGUUUGAACACUAGGAAUUCGGCAUGAAGACAAACCAAAUUAAGGGGUGAGGCUCUAAGCGUCCAAGGACAGCGCAAGGCUGUGAUAUAAGAAGUGUUCUAAGAGGAAGUGAAACAGGAAAGGGAGGGCGGUGGACUGUCAGGCAGCCCUCCGAGUUUUGAUAUUAGUUUACAAGAAUUCAUACACUGAACAACUUUAGUUCUCCAACCAUGUGCGUCUGUUACCAAGCCCUCUCCUAGGAAGGAAGGAAGGAAGGAAGGAGAAAGAAGGGAGGGAGGGGAGAAAAGGAGGAAAGAAAGGAGAGCAAGGGGAGCACAAGCUCUGUGGUUGGUGCCUUCUGUCCUUAAACAGAAAAGAUGUUGAAACUCAGUACUCAGUUAAAUAUCUUACCCGUGUUUAUAAAGUUCUUAUAUAAUGAUGAUCACUGACAUGCCGCAGCGGUGUGUGAGCACGCGCAGGCAGGUAAACACUGUCUUCUUCUGUUCAGGAAACCAGACAACCAUGCGGUGACUGCAAACUAAAUACCGGAAAAGAGCCUCGCAGAAAGGAAAAGCAAAGCUAACAUCAGCAAGAGAUCUGUCCUCCCUGCUUUGGGAUUACAAAUUUAAAACCUUUCAGAGAACACUUGUUUCUAGGCACCAAAAGAGGCUUAGUGAUGGCUCUACCAAACAAUGCAAAGGGCACUGAUAAGAAAGGGUAAAAGAUAAUUAAAAUAACCCUUGUUCCUCAACAAGGCGAGUAUUAAGAUCGAAUAGAAGCAUUUCUUCUAUUAAUGUCCAAUGGGGUUUCCUGUGUUUUGUUCUUUUUUUGUCUCCGAGACAGGUUUUCACUAUGUAAUUCAGGCUGGCCUUGACCUCACUUUGUAGUCCAGGCUGGUCCUGAACUCAUAGCAAUCCUCUUGACUCAGCCUCCCAAGUGCUGAGAUUACAGGCAUGCACCAGCACAACUGGCCAUACAUCCUUAAACAGUGUCAUGUUCUAAGAAAAUUAAAAUAGAUGACUUAUGGUGAUAAUAGUGCCAGAUAACACAAAACCUAUGAAAUUUAAAACCUCAGGCCUAACAGUAUAACAAUUCUUAUAAAAAUAUUUCCUAUCGGCAUUUGAACCUAAAAUGAAAACAGGCCAUCUUUUAAAGCUUCAUAUAAUGGGGCUCCUGUUUCUUGCCUUGACCUGGGUCCUUAAAAGAAUUUAGUUCUAAUAGAGGCAAAUUUAAUAAAAAUUUAAAUUAUUUAUAAAUAGCCUAUCAAUCACUUUCUUUUUUUUAACACAAGAAGUCUUCACAGCUUGGCCCACUGAAGUUGUGGCCUCAUCAGAUGUUCAUGCAGUGGAAUAACACAGCAGUUUUUGAAGUCAGUAACGCAACAACUUACUGAGCUAUAAGAAGGUACUUUUGCAGAAUUUUCAGCAUUUUCUACAUAAUAUAUAUUGCUAAAACUUCCAUUUUAGUCAUGACAAAGCUUGACUGUGAUCAUAUCAAAACUGUAACAUAUCUGACAGGUUUGGGAAAAAUUCAAACCAAAUCCCAUAAGGUAUUGCUAUCCGUCAAUUACAUGGGAAACAUACAUACUAAUUCACAUUUCCAAAUGGUGCAACAGAACUACAUACAUUUUUAUAAUAUUAUAAUAUAAUAGUGUGGUUAAUACUUUCAACCACACUAAAGAUAACUGUCCUAAUUUUUAUGCACAAAUUGGCACUAUUGAUGUUAAGAUGCCAUUAAUUUUAAGAUAUACCUCCAAUUUAACAAAAUAAUACUUAGAUUGGGGAAAUAAUAUUAAUUAUACAAAUCAAUUAUACAUUUCACUUUUAGAAACAUUUUUUAAAAAUACAUAAAAUAGUGUGUAUGUAUGUUGAAAUCCAAGAAAAAAUACUGCACUGAAAAUGUUUUUAUGAAUUGUGUUUUAUCUUACAAGUAUGAAAAUUUAUUAAGUUUUUAAAAAUGAGUUUGAUGACAUCAGUUCUGUAAAAAGCCCACUAGUAAAAAUAAACAGUACUUGUAGUGUUCAGGUUUAUCUAACAAAACUUAAAAUUGUGAUUCUUACAAUUUAAACAAUAUUCUGCUUUAUUAAGGCUUAAAUGACAAAAAUUUACAUAUUUAUGGAAUACUUUCCUAUACAUAUGUAUCCUGAAACUACUAAAUCAGUAUCAUUAUAUCAAUUAUCUACUGUAUUAUUUUUAAUGGUGAGAACAUUUAAGAUUUAUUUUUGUUUGUUUUUGCCUUUUUGAGUCGGGUCUCAAUAUGUAGUUCAAACGCCUUGAACUCACUCUGUGGCUCAGGCUGCCUUUGGACUCGCAGUCUCAGUCCUGCCUCAGCCUCCUGAGUGCGGGGACUACAGAUGCACGCCAUCACGUCAGACAAGGUUUAUUUUCUUAGCAACUCACAAAACACAAUGCGGACCUUAGUCACCUUACUGACAACAGACUUCCAGAACUUACUGCUUCUACCUCAAGGCAACUGUGCCACUCUGAACAACAUCUUCCCAUCACCCCUCACUCCAAGAAGUAAUCACAAAUCUACUCUCUGUUUCUAUGGUUUGAUUCUCUUAGACUUCCUCAUUUGACAAAACCAUGCAUUUUCUUUCAGUGUCGGGCUUAUUUUACUUAGUGUUUUAAUGAUUUUUCAGGUACAGCUACUUCAUUAAUGAUGGGACUUCUUGCGUUUUAAAGGUUAAAGAGAGUAUCUGAUUAUACAUUUUAUUGUGAAUAAAUAUGAAUACAGAAAUGUAGCUAUCAAUUCAACAUACUUACUUCAUUUCCUUUGGACUUAUAGCCAGAAAGACAACUGGUGGAUUAUACGCUUGUUCCAUUUUUUAACCGAGGAAACUCGUACUGUUUCCGUAAUGUCUGUGCUAGUUUCUAUCACCCAGUGUAUGCGUGGUGGCUUCCUUUUCUCUGUCCUCUCCAACACUCUUAAUCCUUUGUCUUAUAAUAACCACUGUAACAAUAUGAGACGUGACCUCGCGGUGGUUUUGCUAUUUCUCUGAUGGUCAGAGACACUCAAUGUUAUUUCCAAUACCUGUUGGUCAUUUGCUUCUUUUCUAAAGUGAACCUAGUCAGGUUCUUUGCCUCCUUUUGAAUCAGGCUGCUUUCUUGCUGUUGAGUUGUAGACUCCCGUGUAUCUUUCAGAUAUGGAAGAUAAAGAGCUCUGAUGUCUUGUCAGAUGUAAAGCUUGCAACUGUUUUCUUCCAUUCUGUAGGCUAUGUCUUCAUUGUGGUUUCUUUUGCUGUAUGAAGACUUUUUUUGUUUGCAUUUUGGGUUUUUUGGCUUGUUAUUUGUGCUUUAAGGCCAUACCCACAACACUAAUAUCAAACUUUUUUUCUAAGAGUUUCACUGUUUCAAGCCUUUAACCCAUUUCAAGUUGAUUUGGGUAUAUGGAAUGAUACAAGGAUCCAAUUUCAUCCUUCUGCACAUAGUGGAUAUUUGAUUUGUCCAAUAUUUAUUGAUAAAGUCUAUCUUUGCACAUUUGUUUGCUACUGAUUCUGUCAAAGAUCAACUGACCAUAAACUCUGGGUUUAUUUCUAGGUUCUCUACUCAGUGUAAUAGGUCUAAUACAUCUGCUUUUAAUGCUAGUACAUGCUGUAAACAUUAUAAUUUUGUGAUAUAUUUUGAAAUCCAUGCCUGCAGCUUUGUUUCUUUUGCACAGGAUUUCUUUUGCUAUUAUGGGAUCUUUGGGGUUCUACACAACUUUUUGGAUUUUUCCAUGAGUCUACAUACAUCAUGUUGGGUAGUGUGGACAUUUCAAUGUUAACUUUUCCUAUACAUGAACACAGGAUAUCUUUAUAUUUAUUUGUGCCUAUUUCAAUAUUUUAUUUUCAUCAAAGUUUUUAGUUUUCAGUUUAUAGAUCUGUUAUCACCUUGGCUAAAUUUAACUCUAAGUAUUUCACUUGUUUUGAUACUAACACAGAAUAUUUUUAUUAGUCUUUCAGACACAUGUAUUUGUAUACAGAAAUACUACUGAUUUUUAUAUCUUGAUUUUGUAUCUGGCACCAUCAUUGAAUUUACUAUUUCCAACUUUUUUUUUUUUUUUGGUGGAGUCUUCAGAAGUUUGUAUGAGGAGGGUUACAUCAUUUGAAAAGGUAAUUUAAUGUCUUCCUUUCCCAUCUGGAUGUCUUUUAUUUAUUUCCUGCCUUACUGCACUGGCUAGGAUUUCUAGUACUAAGUCAAGUAAGCUAUUGAGAGUGCUAGAGUCUCAAUGUCUGUAUCCUCUUCAGAAGCGUAUGACAGCAUUUAGAGGAGGUGGGGUCAAAGGGCCAUUAGGUUCUACCUGCGACCUACAAUUAGUAUCCUUAUAAAAGAGCUCUAAAGGAGUUUGUUCAUCUUUUCCACCCAGCUAGGAGACACUGUCUUUAAAGCAGAGAAUAAAUUCAUUAAAUGCUGAUUCUGCUGGUACCUUCACAUUGGACCUCCCAGCCUCCAGAACUGUAGACUGUUAAGUCUCUGUAGUUUAUAAAUUCCCUAGUCUAAGGGAUUUUCUCAUGGUGGCAUGAAUAGAUUCAAAUAGUGACACUGCCAACAGUUCUGCUCAAUGAUCCAACAAAAACUUUGUAGAAUUGAUAUGUUUUUUUAUCUUAAAGAGGGUCAGAUUAAACAUACCAAAACAGAACAGUUCAUAAAGAAACAAUUUAAAGAAAUAAGGAUUUCAAAUCAAGUCCACUGGAGAUCUUCACUGCCUAUCUUAUUGUCUCUAGUUUUCUUCCAAAUAGUUGUCCCCAUCUUCACACACAUUGAAUACAUACUGCAUAUUAUAGAACUAAUCAAAUCAUUACAGGAUGAUGAAGGCUUUUUAGGUAUUUAAGACCUGACACUGGAGAAGUCAAUAAUGACUACCAUAAUGUCUCUCAUUCUUUUUGUAGUAGCUGUCCUUAUUUUUAUGUAUGCUAAAGAGACUAGACUAAUAUCACUCUGAACAGUGAAUAAUAGUAUUGCUAGAUUUUAUAUCAUAAUGUUACAGAAUUAGCAUUGGGUUUCUUAGUGUCUCUUCUUCUUCAGAGUAUCUGUUCAUUACAUCCUGCAUUAUAUAAUCUGUUACUGUAAAUAGUAUAAAAAAAUUCUUCCCAUGUGUGAAUUUCUACAUGUAUAUCUAUCCUUUCUGUAUUAUAGGGAAGAACAGAUCAUAACAAGACAACAAAACAAAUUCCUAGAAAAACAUGCAAUGAAAAAAACACAUAAAACCACAGUAUUGGGUGAUCUACCAUAGUACUAUGCUUUCUCUUGUUAUUUUCAAUACACUUGUCCAUAUCAUCAGGCUUUAUAUAGUUAAGCAUAGUAUUACAUAGCUAUUUUUAUAAAAACACAACUUUGAAGACAUUGCAGGACUUGAGAGUGGUUAAUAAUCAAAACCAGUACGGAUAUCUUUUUUUUUUUCCUUUUUAUCGGUACCAGGGAUCGAACCCACGACUGCCUGCAAUGCAGGUGCUUAUGCCGCUGAAUUAAAUCCCCAGCCCCUUGGACAUCUUUUAUAUCUUGUCAUCUUCAGAGUAGUUGCCUCUACUCUUAGACUUGACACUAUCAAGCAUACUAAAUUCGAAUAAAAUCAACCAAGGAAAAACUGCGGUCUAACAAACCAGCUUCAAAUAAGAUCUGUCAUAGUAAGACAAUGUAAGCAAUACAGGGUUUUCAGUUUAACUUAAUCUACUCUGUUUCUUUUUUUAGUGUAUCGAGGUUAUUUAUAUUAAAGAUUAUAGCUUACCAUCUCUGCCUCAUAUCUGCUAUUCUAUUUUCUGCUAUAAUUUGUCCACUUUACUCUUUCAUUCCACUGUCUGCCCCAUUCAUUGAGGCCUCUCUGCCACUGUUGCUGGAAUCCUGGUAUUUUUUUUUCUCUCUCUCUGGAAUGUCCUUUGGUAUUUUUUGUAGAGUUGGGUUGGUACCCAUGAACUCUCACAGUUCCUCCUUGUCUUGGAAAUAUCUUAUUUCUCCAUUAAUUAUGAGAGAGAGUUUUUCUGGGUACAUCAAUCUUGGUUGUAGAUUAUUUUCUUUCAGGGCUUGGACUAUUUCCCCCUAGGCUCUUCUCGAUUUGAGAGUUUGUGCUGAUAAGUCUGUUGUUAUUUUGAUAAUUUUUCUGUUGUAGGUAAUCUGCUUCUUUUCCCUGGCUGCUUUUAAUAUUCUGCUCUUGUGGUAGAUUUCUGGAAUCUUAUUAUUAAUAUGUUAUUAAUAUGUCUGAGUGUAGAUCUGUUUUGGUUGUUGGUGGCUGGAGUUCUAUAUGCCUUAUUUAUCUGGAUAUCAUUUCUUUUUCCUAUGCUUGGGAAGUUUUCCUUUAUUAUAUCUGUGAAUAGUCUUUAUAGUUCAUUUUUGGUUACUCCUGCUUCUUCACUCACGUGUUUUAUUCUUAAGUUAUAUAUCCUUUGUCAUCUUCUAGCCUUUGAAUUGUUUCUUUCUGUUCCUCAAGAGAUCUUUUCUUUCAUGAUCAUGUAUCAUAAAUCUGUCUUCAAGUUUCAAAAGGCUAACUUUAGUUUCUGUCAAGGCAUUUUGCCAGUUUUCAAUGGAGUUUUUAGUUUCCUGGUAAUCUCUUUGGAUCUGUUUCAUGUAUUUUAGGUUAUGUUUAAAUUCUUCAUCAAAGGUUUCUCUUUCUUUUCUGAGUUCCUCCAUUCUCCCAUCUGUGUUCUCUUGGAAGGGGCUUAUCAUUUCUUCAGUCUUUUUAUAUGUUGCUCACUUGGAUCAGAAGUAGUUUUAAAUUCAUCUAUGAGAUCGUGAAGACAUUUCUUUAUGUCCGCUGAUGCUGUGUCUAGUAUUGGAUGGUUACUGCACUAGUUCUCUUCUGUAUUUACUUCUCCUGGGCUUAUUUUCUCAUGUUCAGCAGCUGGAGAUUUUUUUUAUUUCUAUCUCUUGUCAUGUUUCUGGUUUCUUUCAGACUGGUGUGUCCUGCGGGUCUCUGGCCCUCUCCAUAUUGCUUAGGGUCUUUCCGAAGCAUGCUGACUGGGGCUUUGCUCCCCUCUCCAGUUUGCUGUUAUCUGCGGUACACGCAGGGAUACAGGGACAGUGCAGGCUAGCCUCGAGCCUCUGAGCCAGUCAAUCUGCAAGUUAGGUUGCACCUUGUGGAUGUCACAGAGUCGUGACAAUUUUGUACCUGCUUAUUGGGUCCCAACCAGAGGUGUGGCUCAGCUCCAACAGAUCCUGCCAGUUCUUUCUGCGCCAGGGGCAGCUGACUGAUGUCACCACAGCACUGGACUCUGCCCAACUCCAAGAUGUCCUCCACCAGUCCUCUCUGUGUCAGGGGCAGCCUACUGACGUUGCCACAGCACCGGACUCUGCCCAAUUCCAAGAUGUCCUCCAGCCAGCAACAGCAGCCACGGGACCCAAUCCCUAGCACUCACCAGGAAUCAAUGCAGUUCUUCCUCUUGGAUCCACUGCACACUGCGUCACAUGUCUUCACUGCGCUCUGAGCUCAGCGCAGAUCAGUCAGAAAACUGCGCAGUGCACGACUUUGGCCCCCAGGUGUAUGGUCCUCUCGUGAUCUCCAGCGUGGCCAGGUGGCUCUGGCUGCUUCAUGGGUCCCUGGGAUCCAAUUUCCAGCAGUCACUGAGAGCCAAUAUAGCUCUUCCCCUUGGAUCUACUGCUCACUGCGCCGCAUCCUCCUAGUAAGGGCCUGGGAUUUGCCAACUCCUGUCAUCAGCAGCUGCGGUCUCAGCACAACUUUGGAUUGCCCGGGUGCACCUAGUACAGCAUGGAACGGGUCUCAGUAAGCGUGUGUUUGAGUUCUCCACCUGUGCUUUUCCUUCCUCUUCCUAGUUUUAUUUUUCCUUUCAGCUACCGCCUUGGUUAAUAAGGAUUGUUAUCCAUCUGGCCCUCUCCAUGUUGUCAAAUUCUAGCAUCUGAUCUGAUUUCUGCACAGAGGCUCUUCAUCCAGCCCCCUAGCAAGCUGCCUUUUUUUUUCCACCCUCUGUCUUCUUGUCUUUCACUGAUUUCUGCUCUGAUCCUUGUUAUUUUCUUCUUUAUACUAAUUCUGAGUUUAGGGGUUUGUUUUGUCUCUGAUUCCUUGUGUUAUGUCAUUAAACUUUGUUCCUUUCUUAAAUUGCUGUAAGUUUCCCUAAGAUGCUUUUGCUACAUUCCAUAAAUUUUGGUAUGUUGGAUUUUCUGUUUUUGUAUAACAAGGUAUUUUAAAAUUGCUCUUUACCUAUUAAUCUACUAGCGUAUCAGGAUCAUGUUGUUUUAUUUGUGAAUUUUCAAAAAUUCCUAGUAUUAAUUUUUGACUUUACACAAUUUUAGCUGGAAAAGAUACAUGAUAUAAUUUGAUUUUUAAGUCUACUAAGAUUUAUAUGUGUGUCCCACCACAUGAUGUAUCCUGGAGAAGGUUUUCACAGGUACCUCAAAGCAAUGUGUGUUCUGCUGUUAAUGGAUGGGAUGCUCGGCAUAUGUCUAUUACAUUCGUUGGGUUUUAAGUGUAUCUAGAUGGUUUAUCCAUUGUUGAAAGUCUUCUUCUGUUACCAUACCACAAUCUGCACUCUCUUCAGAACUAUUAUUUUUAUUAUAUAUCUAGAUAGUUAAGUAUAUAUUUACAAUUUAUACUUGCUUGGACACUACCAAAAUGUAAUGACCUAUUUGUCUCUUUUUAUACUUUUUUAAAAGUGUACUUUUUCCUCAUAGAACUGUAACUAUUCCUAUUCUCUUCCAGUUUCCAUUUGCAUGGAAUAUCUUUCUUGAUUUAUUUGCUUGGAUUGUAAUGUGUGUCUUUAAAUCUGAAUUGAAUUGCUUGGAUUUUUUUCAGUUCUUUCAGCAACUUUAGUUUUUAGACUGAGGAAUUUAAUCAGUUUACAUUCAGGAGGUAAGAGUAAGGACAAUGACAUUUUUUAAAACGUAGACUCUAUGUUCCUUUCUUUGUCUUUUUGUCUUCCUUUACUGAUGAUUUUCAGUAGUGGUGUGUUUCAAAUCCUUUCCCUUUUUGGUUUUAUAGUUUAUGGCUUAUGGGUUUUGAUUUAUUGUUUAGCUUUAUGGUUACCAUGAGGCUUACAAAAAUACAACUUAUGGGUAUGACUGUAUUUUAAAGUGAUAACAACUAUACUCUUCCAUUUUCUAUCGCUCUAAAGAAGUAUCAGAGGCAAGAUACUCCACAAAGAAAGGAGAUUUGUGUAGCUUGGUUUGGAGACUGAAAGCCUGGCUGCCUCACCAUUCUGGACUGACUCCCAGGAUGGCAGAGUGUGAAUGAAUGAUGGAGACACCACAUGGGGAGCCAGCAAGGCAGCACCAGCAACGCAGCAAAAGUGCGGGGCCACUCUUGCUUUUUCCUCAUCAAUCCUCUUUCAGCAACUAAGUCCCAUGAUAACUACCUUAAUCCCUUCCACAGGCGGCACCCACAAGGCUCCACCUAUGAAAGCUCACCCCAUUUCUCACUAUCACCAAACUGGGAACUAAGUUUCCAACAGGGAGACACACUUAAAUCAUAUCCAAAUCAUAACAAUAAUAACUCUGACUGCAUCAAAACACAGUCCACAUUUUUAGAUUGUGUGCCGAACAGCAAAUUAUUAGCUAUUAAACAGUUUUGUAAUUUAACCAUCCGAGUAGACAUGUUAGCAUAAUUUUCAUAUCACUGUUACUGAAGUACAUUUACAUUUACCAGCAAGUUUUACAACUUCAUGUGAAUUCUUGUUACUACUCAGCAUUCUCCUCAGCUUGAAGAAGUCCCCUGAGCAUUUCCUGAGAGGCAGUCAGAUGACUGAGGCCCUCAGCUUCUGUGAUGAAGUCUCAGCUCUCUGUUGCUUCUGAAGGAUCACUUUACUGGUCAGAUUAUGUGUAAUAGGGAAAUUUAUUUUCUUUUAGUAUUUUGAAUGUGUCACCCCCUGUCAUGGUUUAUGUCUGUGGUCCCAGGCCUCAUGAGUUUGCAUUGUGCAUUUGUGAUUGUUCAUUGUCUAGUGCUUAGAUUGAUGGUGUCAGUGCUACACCCACAUAGGGGUGGAGCCAGGAUGGGAUGUAAUGGCAGGAAGAAGGUGUGUCUUACUCUCUUUGCUGGUUCUGGCUUGCUGUUUGCAGCCACCAUGAACUGCAGCCCAGCCAUGCCAGCCUGCCUUGGAGCCAACUGAGUAUGGACUGAAACCUCCAAAAACUGUAAGAAAUAAACCUUUCCUUUCCCAACUUGGACUUCAGGUAUUUUGUCAAAGUGACGAGUAAAAAGUAACUAGGACACCCCCUUAUUUUUUUUAUUGGUCUGCAAAUUUUCUGAGUAAUGGAAUGCCAGCCACCUUUUUAUUUAAUCUCUUUUAAACUUGUUUUGUUUAUGUACUGUUUCCUGAUGCUGUUGAGUCAUCUCUGUCUUCUCAUACAGUUUGCUGAGCUCCCUUAAAAACAAUUAUUUUUCAUUGUCGUGAGAGAAUUCAUAAAUCCUUCCCUCUUGGGGUCUGUUAUUGGAAAGUUAUUCUUCCAGGGGUGAAACGCUGCCUUGCGCUGAUGCCCGUUAGGAGAUGGAGCACUGGUCGACUCUACCUGUUACACACUGGCCUCAGCGUGUGUGAAGGUACAGCGGGCUCAGUGAAGACAUGGGAGUGUGUGCAGCGUCGGAUCUGAGGACAGCAUGGGUGGAGACAGCAGGUACCCCCAGCAUACAGAACCCUGGGUGUCCACAGCUAUGCAGGGCAUGCUGGGGCCUUUAGUGCUGAAUGCCGUUCCGGCCUCCUGAUUUGCUUCCCCCAUCUGGGAAGUGGGGUCCAGGGGACCACACUGUGCACUGACAGUGAUGUGCAGUGCAUGGCCUCUGUAGUCACACUGCUGGGGCAGUACAGGGCCACACCUUCAGAGGCUGGGGCCGAGGGCACACUUACGCCUGUAGAGCAAGCAUAUCCACUACCACGUUGAUAAUGGUCCGUGACACAGUGUGAAACUUAGCACAGUGAAGGCACUCCUGAGCCACAGCUAGCUCCUUGUGUGUCCUUGGUGGCGGGCACAGAGCCACCCAGACUCCAGGGCUCUGGCUGGGCUGGCGCUAGGAGCUCUCCUGUCUGAGGCAAAGGUGCACACUGGGAAGCCACAAAGCCAAGGCUGUGAAUGUGGUCAUAUGUGGUCAUAUGAACACGGUCACAAAGCCAGGGUCUGGCAUUCAAGUAAGCGACCCAGCAAAGCACCAGCCUGGGGCACACACCUGAGAUGGGGCAGGGGUGGCACCUAGCGCAUGCCUGACACUGAGAGAGCCGCCUUAGACAAGCCCCGCUCCCCAGCUGUCCUUUCCGUGCAGUGGGUCACACUGCUUCACCCCCUCCUCCACUGUGACCUGAAGGUCCCUUCUUGGACCCUCAUGCUCUCCGGGGUUGGGUGGGGGCUAUCCACGGGUAGAUGACUGCAUCUCAGCUUUUGUCAGGGAGGGAGAAGGGCUAGCAUCUCCUGCUGUUUUGCUGCUCUCCCCUCCUAAGCUGUAACCCAGGCAAAUGCUUAUGAGGACUUCCUCCUGGGAAACAAAAUCACAACUUGCAGAACCACUCCAAAGGAGCUUUCCUAUCCUGUUUCCCCUUAUCCUCUAGGACUGCUAUUUUGUUUCUCCUGUGAAAAUGGUGUUUCUAAAACUGAAGGUAAACAGGACUUUUAAGGGAUACACAUUAUGUACAGCAGUCUGAAGAAAAAUUACUUCUGCCGCCUAUAGAGCACUUGAAAUAUCAUGGUCCAGAAAGAUGGUAAGUUUCUCCACUUGUCUCCAUCUGUGAGAAUCAGCGUAAUCAACACUGUCAUAACUUGAUCAUCCUCAGUUGUGUUGGGGUAAAGAGGAAAGAAUUGUAACUUCAACAUUUAAAGAAGUUCAUACAGCUGUAAGCAGCGUGGUGCUUUUUAAUCAAAGCCUCCAUUUUCACAGCAAUGCUUUAACUUCUUGGCUAGUUUAAGGAAACAAGCAGAUUUCUGCUUUGUUUUCGACACUAAGAUAUUAAAAAUGCUUCAGUCGACUUAACUUUGUCCUAAUCCAUCCAAAGUAUUUAGAUAUAACAGAACAGCCUGAAAAUUUAGUUCGAACAAGCCAAAAUUUCAGGUGUGCCAUUCAGUCUAACACUGAGCCAAGUCGGUGACACAUGGUCUAAGAUCACCACCUUACCCUGCUAGAAGAACACAUCUUAAAAUCCAGUGAGCUCAUUUAAUUGAAGUACUUUUUCCUCAAAGGACUCACACAGUACAUUUUAUCAUUUUUAAAGCUAACCCACUUCAUGAUUAUAAUUCUGAAGUUCCUCCCUUCACUGUGCUACUUCUUCCCUACAGAAUGGAAAGCACUUUUCAAAUACCAUUGCAGAUUCUCCAGAAUUGCCUUCCAUUUAACGUCUUUUUUUUUUUUUUUUUUUUUUUUUUUUUUUGUCUUUUUAUCGGUACCGGGGAUCGAACUCACGACUGCCUGCUUGCAAGGCAGGCGCUUAUGCCGCUGAGCUAAAUCCCCCGCCCCUCGUCUUGUUUUUCUUAAAAUCAAACUUGUUUCACCUACUUCAUCAGUUUAUAGCAUAAGAGAUGAACGUGAAAACAGUUUGUAAACUCUACACUAUACAAAUGUAAAGGUACUCUUGUUUAUCAUCUUAACAAACGGAAAGUUAGCAGCCUCUCUGCUCACACUGAGUUCCUGUUCCUAGUUAUCCUAUUCAUCAGCGAGAUACUAGAUACUUCACUUGUUGGCUUUAUUUUGUUUUCCUGCUCAACGGCAAAAUAGCAGUAAUAAACCUAUGAGUAUUCAUUUCUGUGGGCCUACAAGAAGCUACUUUGCUCUUUUCUGUUUUUCAAUCCGAAAGGAUUCACCCAACAACUCUACUUAAAUAAUUCUUUUUUGUCUUUUGAGGGUUUUUUUUGGUGAAAGCCUAAAUCUGGUUUAAAAAAAUUUUUUUUUGCCUUUUCAAGCCUGCUAAAUAAAAUUCAAAAAAAUUUUAACAAUUAUGGAGACUAAUUUGGGGAAAUGAUAGGUAUCUUUCCUUAGCACUUGAGGCAGUUAUGUGAUAUGAAAGACCAGGCUGGAGUUCUAAGACCUUCCUACCAGGUCAUAGCUGACUUACUGGUAACCCAUCCACAUCCUCUUAUAUAUAACCUGUUCAAUACACCUGAUUUCCCAGCUGCCAACAUUCACGUUUCUUGACCAAGGGUUUCUUUUCUUUGCUGUUGCUUGACUCUGUUUUGGCCACUCAACUGGCAGACCAGAGCCGCCUGCAGUCAGAAGUUGAUGGGAACUACCCUUGUUCCCACCUGUCUCGUGGGUUAGUGCUGAGGUGUGAUUUCACACUGUUUCUCCCCGAAGGAUUAAGCCCCAGUCACUGAUGCCCUCUCAUGCCCUGGCACUUUCCUACUCCAUCUGAUUAUCUCCAGACUUUAAAGUAUAUCAAAGAAAAGGAAUCUGACUUAGAAAGAUUUAAGAAUAAUCUUGCUUAGGGUCACAGAGUAAGUCAUGAUUAUAAUACAAUUAUUUUCAGAACAAAAUGAGCUUUUUCACUUGUUUUGAGAAUGAAAUAUUAAGAAAAAAUUCUAUUCAUAUUACAAACCUUCAAAAAGAAAAAAAGAAACAAACCUGUAUUAUCUCAAACCUUCAAAAAACAUGAAACCUUCCUAAAAUCCUUCAACAAAAUCAAUUUUCUUACCACUUAGUGCACACUACCCAUUCAACCACAAGUUAUUUUUAAAGCGUAUCAGUAACAACUGCAAGAAUUUAUGUUCUGACUAUAUUUAUGGAGGGAAAGUAAAAGGGGCAACUCAAAUAUGUAUUUAAAACAACAAGGCACUGGUAAUGGCUAAUCAGUGUUAAUUCCUGACCACAGUAAAAGAAUUCAUGUUUCCUAUCAGAGUUACAAACUCAAGAAAAAUAGAAGACAUAUGAAGACAUAUAAUAAUAUAAUCUAAGGUUUUUAAGGCAAAUAUAAUACAUCUAAUUUAAUGAUUUUUAAAGACACAAAUAUUAUAAUAAAAUCAUUACUUUUAGCCUCUGUAUUUUGGCAUAAUUCAUUCAUUCAUUUAUUCCUUAAACAUACUUUCAUGCAGUAUCUAAGAUACACAAAAUACCCUGGCAGCCAGUUUGGUAUUAGAGUCAAAGAAGGAGGGAAAAUGACAUCAAGCAGCAACUCCAGAUUUAAGAAUUAAAAACAUAUGCAGCCACCUCGGUGUCCAUGGAGCCCUGUUUCAGGGUUCCACAGAGAGCAAACUCCAGAAGCCCAAAUGCCUUAGGGAAAUGACACAGUAUGUGCAUAUGACGUAUACACACCUUCUCCUAUCUGCUUUCAAGCAUUUUUAGAUUAAGCUGUCUAGUACAAUGGAAAUGUGGACAUUAAACUACUGUUUGAAGAAUAAAGUCAGGGAAAAAAAGACUGUACAUAUUUGACAUUGACACAAUUAUUUUUCAAGUAUUUUAGUCUAUGGUUUGCUCAGUCUAUGAAUACGGAACCUAUGGAUAGAGAAGAUUAACUGUAUAAAGAGAAAUUUUACAGACUGCCAAGCCCAACUUUUUAAUUGUAUACACCUACAUAUACAUAUACAUAUACAUAUACAUAUACAUAUACAUAUACAUCUAUGGCGAUAUUCACCCAUCCCACUCAACAAAUUACAAACAACCAGCAAACAAGACAGUAAGAGGCAAUAGAUCUAUGACAACAGAGAAAGAAACCCUUGCCCUCAAAAUAAGCGCAAGUCAGUUUUAGUAGUUGCCACUAUGGAAGUCAUGAUUUUAAGCUGAGAAGUCUUCCUAAUCAGUAGAAAUAAUGAAAAUUUAAUUAUGUUAGCACGCACUUAAAAAUUUAGGUCCAUAAAAAUGCAUUUUAUUCACUAUUUUAUGUUUAAUUCUGAAAAGCAUAGGUUAAAAUAUUCAUCUACAUUUGAAAAAUUAGUUUCCACGAAUGUACAGAAAACACCAAAAAUUUAACUUUAGAAGAAAGAAAAUAACUCUGGGGGCUGGGGAUUUAGCUCAGCGGCAUAAGCACCUGUCUUGCAAGCAGGCGGUCGUGAGUUCGACCCCUGGUACCGAUAAAAAGAUUAAAAAAAAAAAAAGAAAAGAACUCUGCAUAUUAUACAUUUUAAAAGAAUUUAACAGCUGAAAUGUAACUGAUUAAACCCAACUUAAAAAUAAAAUCAUUUUUAUACUCAUAUCAAAAGAUAAUUACAUUUGUGUUGUGUUAUUAAAGUUCAGUAAACUUCAAAAUGUAUCAAAUGUUGAAGAAUCUUUUUCACAUGAAAUUUACUAAUGUCAGCAGAAAUAUUCAAAACAAAAUUUAACAUCUAAUGUGUAUUUUGAGUAGCAAAGACAAGCAAUAAAAACCUAAAUAAGUAAUUCAGUCUCUAAGUUAUAUAAAUAACUAUUAUAGAGAAUUAUUAUUUAUGUGUAUAUAGAUGAGUCUGACACUAGAAUGUAGUUGGAGUUUUAAAAAUACAGAUGUAGGCUUUAAUAACCAAGUCAUCAUAAUACUAAAAGGUCAGUAAUUUAAGUAGCUGCAAACUAAUGUUGAAACUUCUUAGACUCAUUUUUUCCUAAAAUCUAUGAAUUCACAAAGCCCCUCGGGUUGCCGAAGAGACAAAAAACAAUACGAAAAACUUUCUAAACCAGAACCCAACUUUUUUCUAAGUUACUUCAGUUUUGCUCAAUAAACUGACAGUACUGACAAGAAAAUAAAUGGAAGGUAUAUUGUUUGAUGUUUUGUAUUACGUAUUUUUUAAUAGUUUGGAUCUCCCCAUGUAUGUAGGUUUUAUACAAAUGUUUGAAGUGUCUUUUAGUAGGAAAAAUACAAUUCUUAAAACAAAAUUUUGAUCUAUCAAUAAUUAUAUGCGUACGACAUUAAGAAAUUGACAGAAAGUACUGAAACCCUUCCUACAAGUUAGGUUAUUUAAGAUUAUUAGAUGUAUUGGCAACCCAUAAGCAUAAGACGUGAUUUAAUGAUAAAAUGUAUGACAGACUAGGGAAUGCCAGGGAACAGUGAAAGCAAAUACUAAUAGAAAUAGCAUUACAUACCAAGUAGUCUAGGAAGUUUUAAGUUUAUUUCUCUUGGUAGGUUGUAAGAGACAAACUUGCCUUUAGCUCCUCUCAACAAUAAAAGAGUAAAUAAUUAACCUACUAAAUUGUAUUAAAUUGAAUUCCUUCUACAAGUAUUUUAAAUAUAAAAACAGAUGUAUUUCUUAGCUUCUUUUAAAGCACAAGCGCUUGCCAUUAUUCCGGUGGUGAGCAUCAGUCACACACAGGCUUAACAUCAUAUGCAUGUGGGCAAAAUCUCAGAUCCACCAGCUUCGUUAGCUUUUUAGUUGCAGGCAAAUCACCUACCCAUACCAACUCUGUUUCUUCUUCAGUAAAUAAAGACAGUAACAACUACACCUUAAAGUUGUCGGAACAGUUAAAUGAGGUAACAUGUAGACGCAUCCAGCACAAUACCAGCCAAAAGAUAAUCUGUGCUUCAUAACUAUUAUAAUUCCAAUAUUCAAGCAAAUUUUAAUUACAGUGAAAUUAGAGCACGAAGAGGCCACUAGAAUGCCCACUGUGCUGUUUCAUUUCUCACCAAAGAGGGGGAAAGCUGAUCUGAUAUUUAUUAGGAAACUCUAAUUUUGUUUGGCUUCUACUUCUAUUCUUACUCAUUUUUGAGAAUCUGCAAAAGUGACACACUUCUAUAGGUAACUGAUAUCAAUUUGAAGGUAUCAAUAGAUUCCCUGUAAAUUGAUUAAAAACUAUGCUCUAGGGCCAGGGAUUUAGCUCAGUGGCACAAGCACCCACCUAGCAAGUGUGAGUCUGUGGGUUCAAUCCCCAGUACCAAAAAAUAAUAAAUAAAACAAACAAACAAAAAUUAUACUCUACCUGGCUAUUUAAAUUGUCAAAUUAAAUAUAUUCAAAAUUCAAUUCCUCAUCACUGGCCAAAUUUCAAGAUCUUGGCAGCCACAUAGGAUGCUGGAUAACAUAAAUAUAAAACAUUUCUAUUAUCUAGGAAACUGCUAUCAGAACUGUUUUGAAGGGUUAUCACAGUGUGACAGUAAAAAAUUCUCUGUAUUUUAAAAAUGACUUAAGUAUCUUUGUUUCAAGUAAAUGUCCAAAAGAGCAAAUGUUAAAUACCUUCUGUACAGCUGAACCUCUAGUGUUCAGUAUGUAGCAAGCCUUCCACAGGUACCCUACGUAGGCUUGACAUUAUAGUUUUAUUUUAGUUAUAUUAAUGCAGGAAACAGUGAUUGAGUAGGCAAAAGUCAAGGCUGAAAGCUAUGAAUGAAUAUAUAGUUUUUAAAAAGUAGCAGAUAAAUGUCUAUGUUCUCUCAUCUGACAAAUCCUUAGUGCCACUGAAGACUUCCAAUGUGCAGAUCUCAAUGUUUGUUUUUUUUUUUUUUUUUUAGUUUAGGCCAUUCUUAAUGGCUGGGUCACUUAAUCAAAAGAUUUUGCUUUUAUUACAUUUAUAAAAUAGAAGAGGGCUUACUUGCAGCUAAUUAGUGUUAUUACUCCUGCAUGAGUUUUCCCUAAACAGAACAGCUGAAUUAUUUUUCAAUAGUAUGUAUUGGGUCAGACCUCUAUCAACAGAUUCUGCAUCUGCAGACUCCACCAACCACAUACCACAAACAGGAAAAGAACUAUAUAGACUUUUGUAUGGGUUUCUUUCUUGUCAUUAUUCCCUAAGUAAUGCACUAUAACAACCACUGGCACAGCGCUCUCGGUGUACGGGCUAUCGGUAGCCCAGGGAAGAUCUCAAGCGCACAGGAGAUGCAUGUACACACCAGUACUGCACCAUUUUCUAUACAGGAUUUGCACAUCCUCUGCAGAUCCGAUUCACACACAAUGGCUUAGCAAAGGAAACAUUUUAAAAACUCACUGAACUUUUAUAACUUAAAGAUUAUGGCAUUAAGAGUUUAGAAAAUCUGUUUCCUUCUAGCAUACCCUGAAACCAAGUGCUGGAAUACACAGAACAGGAAAAGGUCUAACAAAGAGUUUGCACUUACACGGACACGUUUCUUCUAAUGGCAAAUUCAUCCGCAUCAUCCUCAGAGCUGCUGUCAGUUGCAUCAGAAUCCAGACCCUCUUCGACGUGCGACAGCAGCCCUGCUGCAGACAGUGCGAAUUUCUGGAUCUCUGCAGCCGUGCACCGAGCAAAGCCAUUCUGUGUAUCAACGCACAGUUUAUUCUCUGCAGUCAGUACGUUGACCUCUGGCUUAACUUCGGUGCACUUAGAUAAACUGUGAUCCAAAACCGAGGUAGGUUCGUGAAAACUUUUCGUUUGGGGCAGCUGAUGCUUCAUAGAAAAUUUCAUCUGCUGACCAUAGUGCUCAACAACGUGCUUUGCCAGGAGCAUCUGCAAGUGCUUCCGAGUUCUUCUCGCCUGGCUCAGUAAAAUUUUCUGUUUGCUUACACAGUGAAGUAAACGUGCAUUCACCUCCUCCUCUUUCACAGCAGCUGAGGAACUAUUAGGCACAUUGGAGAGGCCAGGUCCAGGUUUCUUUUGAGCACAGUACAAUAAACUCUUUUUAACAUCAGCAUCAGUAACUUUAUCCAAAAGGGCGUUCUUUUGGAACUGUUUACAGUUUUGCAGUUGUGCUUUGGUAUCUGCACUGGUAUCUUUAAUCAGAUUUGACUCCAGAAUGACCUGUGUAUCUUUCAUGCACUGGCUUGGAUCUGACAGAGGUUCCUUCUUAAUGAACUCUUCAGAACGCGAAUGGCACACUGUACUGAGCUGAAUAUUGCUGCCGUUACGCAGGAUGCUCCUCAGCUUAUUGCAGUUGGGUUCCCCUGACUUCUUUUGUUUAUAAUUUUCAUUGUAUUUAUUUAAAGUAGAAUUAGAACUCAUUAGAAGAACUGUCUGAUAAUGUUUUGAAGGCUGGGGAGAGCCAAAAUGUUUUAGAUUCACAAAAUUAGUGUUAAGAGUGGGUUCCGGAGUUGGAAAUCCCAGCAACUGAGAGAAAGCGUCUCCCUUCAGAUUUUCAUCUAUAGUUCUCGCACUCUCCAUGCACAGCAUCUUGUCAGACUCCAUGGCACUUGGCAAAGCUGAAAAGCAGAGACCCUUUGCUGUUGCUUCCCUCAGAGCUGGGGUCAUGGCGAUUCCUGCAGAGAAUUACUGGAAACCUAAAAUAAUAUAAACAUAAGUGACCAUAUAUCUAGAAAAAGUUUUAUGCUUAUACUUUUCCAAAAGCACAAAUAUCUUGAUGUUACUGAUUAAAAUAUAAAACCAUUUUUCCUUUAUUUCUCAGCUUCCAACUUUAUCUAAUAAAGGACUAAGCUAUUAUUCUUCCCUCUGACUACAAGGUUAGUAUCUAAUACGCCCACUAAAGAUGCACACCACUGGCCAGGAGUACAGCUCAGCGGUAGAGAACCUGGAUAGCAGGCUGAGGCCCUGAGCUUAAUCCCCAUCACUCCCAAGGAGGAGGGAAGGAGGGAAGGAAGCGAGGAAGCAGGUAGGCUGGUUUAACUUUAUCACGAUGCUUGAGAAAUAACUGUGGAUGCAGAAUUCCAUUUUUUGAUAAUGUUUAGUCAGAUUAAAAGAAAUUAUUCUACUUGGAAUCUUAUAACCACACUGGAAAAUGAGACUCAAUUCUAUAGUUUCAUCAAAAAAGAAUUAUUUAUCUUUGUGAAAUACAGUAACACUAAACUUUCAUUUCUGAAUUUAACUGUCAAAUCUGAAAAUAACAUUAAGAACUGAAACAUAAUAUUUUCGUAAGACCUAAAUGAACUGAUCCAAAAUUAAAAACCUAAAUUCAUAACUGUUACAAAUAAUAUGAUAGUAAGACCUUUCCCAUCUCUUAUCACGUUUCCUGAAAAUUUAUCUGCAAUGCUUUUUUUCUUCUUCACAAAUGGAUUUCAAUAGUUAUCUCUGUAGAAGACAUUACUUCCUUUGAAAAACACUGCAGACUGCCAGAUACCAACUCUACAUUAAUCCUUUAAGUACAUAAAUUUCAUUGUAUUUUAUCAAAAAAAAAAAAAGUGUGAAGCCUUAUAUUCUGAUUCACCAAAAAGGUAACUCACUACCAUUAAAAUUAUGAAGCUUGUGGGGCCAGGGAUUUAGCUCAGAGGCAUAAGCACCUGCCUAGCAAGUGCAAGGCUGUGAGUUCGAUCCCUGGUACCAAAAAGUAAAAAUAAUAAAAUGAUAAAGCUUGAAUUGCUAAGGAGAAUUUUUACAUCAUUAACAGUUAUGAGCUCUUAAAAAUACGUAAACAUAUGACUUUUCAUAGUUAUUUAAAUGGCUACUCUUAUACUGUCUGUCUUCAUAUACUAGCUUGAACCCUUCCUUCACGCUUAUUUUUGUAAACUCUAUGCACAAAUGACCAAGACAGGAAAAAAGGGUACAAAACCUUCCAUGUUAAAAAUAUCACAAAGAUUACAGCCAAAUAACAGACAAGGAGAAGGCAUCCACCUCCAACAGACGUAACAGACAAAUGCUAAGACCCGGAGAGAUGAGGAACCCCUCCUCCAAGUGGGCAAGGACAGAGCGGCAAGGACUCCACUGACCACGGCAUGCGAAUGGCACUGGGUUAAGAAAGCAACCUUCUUUCAAGUCUAACAACAUCAUUUAUCAUGAGGAUGAAGGUAAACAAGAUUUCUUACAUCUGCUGAGACCAUGAAUUGCUCAGUAAUUUGUCCAUCAAGUAGAAAAUGUUUGUCAAAGGCACAAAAGAGAGCAAAGUCUGCAACAGGAAAACACCUUUUCAAAACAAUCUCGAUGUCUAAACAAGAGGAUGGAUAAUAAAACAUGACGAACGAAUGUGUUGAAAGCUAAAGAAUAAUUUAUGAAAAGACCUGGAAAAGCAAUUAAGGUAAAAAGCAAAAAUACAGAAGUAUAUAGUACCAUACAAAUACACAAACAUAAAGCCGCACAAUGUCAGUGUGCAGAGAAAUGUUUACAAGAAUAAAAAGCAAGCCAGAAAAAUCCCCACCAAGCUUCUAACCAUAGCUGCAUCAAGUUCUUUAAAACACAACACAGAACGCUGGUGUAAGAGGGCUCAUAUUUCAACUACAAUUGUUUUCCUUAGGGGAAAAAGAAUAAAAGCAAAA
Long non-coding RNA from Cavia porcellus (domestic guinea pig), 24617 nucleotides. RefSeq lists it as uncharacterized. NCBI's taxonomy places the organism in Eukaryota, Metazoa, Chordata, Mammalia, Rodentia, Caviidae. The record is from RefSeq and is a predicted model, not a curated record. The transcript has 2 exons.